CCUACGGGAGGCAGCAGUGGGGAAUAUUGCGCAAUGGGCGAAAGCCUGACGCAGCGACGCCGCGUGAGGGAUGAAGGUCUUCGGAUCGGAAACCUCUGUCAGUAGGGAAGUACGGUCACUGUGCUAAUCAGCAGUGAAUUGACGGUACCUGCAAAGGAAGCACCGGCUAACUCCGUGACAGCCGCCGCGGUAAUACGGAGGGUGCGAGCGUUAAUCGGAUUUACUGGGCGUAAAGCGCUCGUAGGGGGUAUGUAAAGUCAAGGGUGAAAUCCCCGCGCUCAACGUGGGAACUGCCUUGGAAACUGGCAAGAUGGAGUGUGUGAGAGGAUAGUGGAAUUCCAGGUGUAGGAGUGAAAUCCGUAGAUAUCUGGAGGAAC
RNAcentral lists this ribosomal RNA (377 nucleotides) under uncultured bacterium. Its description in RNAcentral is "partial 16S ribosomal RNA". It matches the Rfam family "Bacterial small subunit ribosomal RNA", at positions 338 to 707 of the family's 1533-position model. The record is from RNAcentral.